Molecule: ribosomal RNA, 493 nt
Filed under: Pochazia confusa
Lineage: Eukaryota; Metazoa; Arthropoda; Insecta; Hemiptera; Ricaniidae
Description: partial 16S ribosomal RNA
Source: RNAcentral
CAAGUUUUUUAGUUUUUUUUGGGGGUUUGGCCCGGUCAAAGAAAAUUUUUAAAAACCCCCGUUUUUUUAAUGGGCAAAGGGAGCAUAAUAAUUAGUUUUUUAAAUGAGGUUUGGGAAGAAAGGGUUGGCGGAAAAAAUACUUUUUUUUUGAAAAUUUUUUGAAAUUUUUUUUUAAAUUAAAAAUUUUAAAAUUUUUAGAGGGGCGAAAAAACCCCAUAAAUUUUUUAAAAAAAAUUUUUUUUUUUUUUUUUGUUGUUUUAAUUUAAAAUUUUUUUUAUUUUUUGGUUGGGGUGACUAGCAAAAAUUUAAACUUUGUUUUUUUUUUACAUUUAUUUAUGUUUUUUUGGAUCCUUUAUUUAGAUUAAAAGAUAAAGAUACCUUAGGGAUAACAGCGUUAUUUAUUUGGAGAGUUCUUAUCGAUAAAUAAGUUUGCGACCUCGAUGUUGGAUUAAUUUUUGUUUGUGGGGUAGGUUUACAAAACUAGGUCUGUCGA